This 499-nucleotide ribosomal RNA is filed under the name uncultured bacterium. RNAcentral describes it as "partial 16S ribosomal RNA". It matches the Rfam family "Bacterial small subunit ribosomal RNA", at positions 28 to 507 of the family's 1533-position model. The record is from RNAcentral.
GACGAACGCUGGCGGCGUGCCUAAUACAUGCAAGUCGAGCGAAAUGUUUCUGGUGUUUGCACUAGCUAAACUUAGCGGCGAACGGGUGAGUAACACGUAAAGAACCUGCCUCAUAGACUGGGCUUACUAUUGGUAACGAUAGCUACUACCGGAUGACAGUACUUCUUGCUUGGGAGUUGUUUAAUAGUUGGUUAUGCUAACACCUUGCGGUGGCUUUGCGGUGCAUUGGCUAGUUGGUGGGGUAAAGGCCCACCAAGGCGACGAUGCAUAGCCGAACGGAGAGGGGGGUCGGCCACACGGGGACGGGAACAGGGCCAAGACUCCUACGGGAGGCAGCAGUAGGGAAUCGGCCGCAAUGGGCGAAAGCCUGACGGAGCAGCGCCGCGUGAGUGAAAAAGAAGUUCGGUGCGUAAAGCUGUGUUGUUAGGGAAAAAUGGAUAUGUAGUAACUAUACGUGUAAGAGACGGUACCUAGCCAGAAAGCCACGGCUAACUACGUG